Molecule: ribosomal RNA, 397 nt
Filed under: uncultured Glomeromycotina
Lineage: Eukaryota; Fungi; Glomeromycota
Description: bacterial SSU rRNA
Rfam family: Eukaryotic small subunit ribosomal RNA
Source: RNAcentral
AGCAGCCGCGGUAAUUCCAGCUCCAAUAGCGUAUAUUAAAGUUGUUGCAGUUAAAAGCUCGUAGUUGAAUUUUGGGUUUGACCGAUCGGUCCGUUCUUGUGACGAGUACUGGUCGUGUUGGGCCUCACCGCCUGGGGAAAAGCAAUGCCCUUUAUUGGGUGUUGUUUGGAGCCAGGACCUUUACCUUGAAAAAAUUAGAGUGUUUAAAGCAGGCAUAUGCCAGAAUACAUUAGCAUGGAAUAAUAGAAUAGGACGAUGAAUCUAUUUUGUUGGUUUCUAGGAACAUCGUAAUGAUUAAUAGGGAUAGUUGGGGGCAUUAGUAUUCAAUUGUCAGAGGUGAAAUUCUAGGAUUUAUUGAAGACUAACUACUGCGAAAGCAUUUGCCAAGGAUGUUUUC